Arachis ipaensis is the source of this 601-nucleotide non-coding RNA. The record is from RefSeq and is a predicted model, not a curated record. Lineage: Eukaryota; Viridiplantae; Streptophyta; Magnoliopsida; Fabales; Fabaceae.
CUCUCUGUAGACAUGAUACAUGACAAAGCACAAUGUCGUCGUUUGAUUCAUGUAACCGACCCCACUUAGUGGGACAAGACUUUAUUGUUGUAUAUUAUACACAUUUUCUUUGAAUUGACCGUCAUGUUUUAGUAAACAAACAUGAAUCUAAUUAUUUCUUGAAGUUGCAAAAGUAAAUAAAUUCAGUUACGGAGUUCCAUGCGUGACUUGAUGUUUUGCUAACUCAUGUUUUGCUGUCAUGAUAGGGGAAGAUUGUUCCUCCAAGAGGAUCCACUGAUUUUUUAUGGGAUCCAAUUUUUCAACCCGAUGGCUAUGAGCAAAGGUAUGCAGAGAUACCCAAGGAGGAGAGAAUAAAAUUUCCCACCGUUUCAAAUCUCUUGAAUUAGUGAAUCUGGAUAUGCAUUUCAGAUCAAUAAUGUCUGGCAGAGCUUUUGUUGCCAUUGAGGUUAGACUAUAGGUGCAAGAACUUUAUGAAAUUUGGUUUAGUUUUUGGCUAGUUGCCAUUUCUUUGUUAGACUUGAAUACGGAAAAUGAUAUUUGAGUUCAACAAUAGAAGAAUCAACGAUCUCUGAAAUUGACAGAAAACUUGGAUCUCUAGCAA